ACUGGUUGGAAUAGGUUCCCAAAUACGAGAAAUGGAAUUACUAUUAUGUACAGAAUCAACUGAUGUUCGCAUGGUGGGAAUUUGGGGCAUGGGUGGCAUUGGUAAGACAACCCUUGCACAAGCUAUUUACGAUCGAGUUUCUAGUCAAUUUGAAGGUUGCUCCUAUCUUGAAGAUGUUGGAGAAGAUUUGAGAAAAUGAGGUUUAAUAGGUUUACAAGAGAAGCUUCUUUCUCAAAUUCUAGGACAUGAAAAUAUAAAGUUAAAUGGGCCAAUUUCUCUAAAGGCAAGGCUUUGCUCCCUAAAGGUCUUUAUUGUUCUUGACAAUGUACAUGAUCAAAAUAUACUUGAAUACUUAGUUGGAAGCCAUGAUUGGUUUGGACAAGGAAGUAGAAUCAUUAUCACAACUAGGGAUAAGCGUUUAUUAAUGUCACAUGGAGUGAGGGUCUAUGAGGUUAAGAAAUUAGUUCAUACUGAAGCUAUUGAGUUUCUUAGACGUUAUGCCUCAAAACAACAAAUUGCUAUUGACGAAUUUAUGGAGCUUUCCAACAAUAUAACAACAUAUGCUCAAGGGCUUCCAUUAGUUCUUAAAGUCCUAGGCUCUUUUUUAUUUAGCAUGAGCAAACAUGAAUGGAGAAGUGAGUUAGACAAACUAAAAGAUACUCCUCAUGGUAGAAUUCAAGAAGUGUUUCGAAUAAGUUAUGAUGGGUUGGAUGACAAAGAGAAAAACAUAUUUUUGGAUAUCGCGUGUUUUUUCAAAGGUGAAGAUAAAGAUCAUGUGAUAAAAAUAUUAGAUGGUUGUGGCUUCUUCGCAGUUAGCGGAAUAAGAGGUCUCAUUGAUAAGUCUCUUAUAACUAUUUCCAACAAUGACAAAAUAGUGAUGCAUGAUUCACUCCAAGAAAUGGGUUGGGAAAUCAUUCGCCAAACAAGCCCUAAAGAGCCUGGCAAAUGCAGCAGAUUAUGGAUUUACGAAGAUGCCUAUCAUGUAUUAAGUAAAAAUACGGGAACACAAGAAGUUGAAGGCAUAUUUUUAAACUUGUCUGGUAUAGAAGAGAUACACUUUACAACAAAGGCCUUUGCUGGGAUGGAUAAGCUUAGAUUGCUCAAAUUCUAUGACUAUAUCCCCUCGACAAACUCAGAAUGUACUAGUAAAAGGAAAUGUAAAGUGCAUAUUCCUCGGGAUUUUAAAUUUGAUUACAAUGAAUUGAGGCAUCUACAUUUACAUGGAUAUCCUUUGAAGCUGUUGCCGCAUGAUUUUAGCCCCAAGAAUCUUGUUGACCUCAGCCUGCCUUGUAGUUAUGUUAAACAACUUUGGAAAGGAAUCAAGGUUCUUGAAAAGUUAAAAUUCAUGGAUCUCAGUCACUCCAAAUAUCUUGUAGAGACCCCAAAUUUCUCAGGGAUCAGCAAUCUUGAGAAGUUAGCUCUCACAGGGUGUACGUAUUUGCGUGAGGUUCAUCCAACCCUUGGAGUUUUGGGCAAGCUUAGUUUCUUGAGUUUGAGAGACUGCAAAAUGCUGAAGAAUAUUCCAAACAGCAUUUGUAAGCUGAAAUCUCUGGAAACUUUUAUUUUUUCUGGUUGCUCAAAAGUUGAAAAUUUUCCGGAGAACUUUGGGAACUUAAUUAGAACAGUUGAAGGAGCUAUAUGCAGAUGAAACUGCUAUAAGUGCACUACCCUCCUCGAUUUGUCUCUUGAGAAACCUUCAAUUAUUAUCCUUUAAUGGAUGUAAAGGACCACCAUCUGCCUCAUGGUUAACGUUGUUGCCAAGAAAAAGUUCAAAUUCCAGCAAAUUUCUAUUGUCUCCGUUGUCAGGUUUGGGCUCUCUAAAAAAACUGAAUUUGAGAGACUGUAAUAUAUCAGAAGGAGCAGACCUGAGUCACCUUGCAAUCUUAUCUUCGCUGGAAAAUUUGGAUUUAAGUGGGAAUAACUUUAUUAGCCUGCCUUCAAGCAUGAGUCAACUUUCUCAGCUUGUAAGGCUUAAGUUGCAAAAUUGCAGAAGGCUUCAAGCAUUGUCGGAGCUUCCAUCAAGCAUAAAGGAGAUAGAUGCACAUAAUUGCAUGUCAUUAGAAACAAUCUCAAACCAGUUGCUCUUCUCGUCUCUUAGACAUGUCUCUUUUAGUGAAUGUUUGAAAAUUAAAACCUAUCAAAACAACAUUGGGUCCAUGUUGCAGGCUCUGGCAACUUUUCUUCAAACUCAGAAGAGGUCUGGAUAUGCUCAGGAUAACCCAGAGAGUGUGAACAUUGAAUUCAGCACUGUUGUUCCUGGAAGUGAAAUACCAGAUUGGUUCAGCUAUCAGAGCUCUGGGCGUAAAGUAAAUAUAGAGCUACCUCCAAAUUGGUUUAAUAGCAACUUCCUGGGUUUUGCACUUUCUGCUGUCCUUGGUUUCGAUGCCCUGCCCAGUCACGACCCUAAUUUUAACGUUUUUAGCUUAUUUUGUAUAUUCGAUUUCCAAAAUUCCGCUGCUUCUUACAGUGAUAAUGUCUUCCAUCUUAAUUCUGGGCCUGCAUUAAUCGAGUCAGAUCACCUUUGGCUGGGGUAUGCACCAGUUGUCAGCUCCUUCAAGUGGCAUGAAGUGAAUCACUUUGAGGCUGCAUUUAUGGCGUUCACCAACAACUUGGCCCUGGUGGUUAAGAGGUGUGGGAUUCGGCUAGUAUACAGCAGUGAAGAUGUGAGUGACAACAACCCAACAAUGAUCCAAUACAUUUCUCCACCUCCUCCUCCCCGUUCAACUCUCCUUAUUCAAGAAAUUGAUGAGGGGGGACCCAGUGGAAGUGCCUGCUCUAGCGAGGACUCAUGCACCUAACACAUUGAGAGGACCCAAGCCAUGAUUCCACUCAAGGGACAAUCCAUUCAUCAAUGCACUGGCUUAUGGGCUUUGAGUUCAAAGAAAAUUCAUUUAACUUUAUCUGAUAUUUAUUUUUCCUAGUAAUAACUACUUAUUAGUUAUAUGCCAUUAAGUGAAACGUACUUGAACUAUCUGAUAAUUGCUCUAGUCUAUGUGAUGGAUAUUAUCUUUGGCCAUAAGCCUAAAUAGAUAAAGAAAAUGAAAUUGAGGAA
Molecule: RNA transcript, 3052 nt
Organism: Vitis vinifera (wine grape)
Lineage: Eukaryota; Viridiplantae; Streptophyta; Magnoliopsida; Vitales; Vitaceae
Gene name: probable disease resistance protein At4g19530
Exons: 4
Source: RefSeq, a predicted model, not a curated record